This 274-nucleotide ribosomal RNA is filed under the name uncultured bacterium. RNAcentral describes it as "partial 16S ribosomal RNA". It matches the Rfam family "Bacterial small subunit ribosomal RNA", at positions 523 to 796 of the family's 1533-position model. The record is from RNAcentral.
AUACGGAGGGGGCUAGCGUUGUUCGGAAUUACUGGGCGUAAAGCGCGCGUAGGCGGUCCGCGUAGUCAGGCGUGAAAGCCCCGGGCUCAACCUGGGAACUGCGUUUGAUACUGGCGGGCUAGAGUCCGGGAGAGGGUAGUGGAAUUCCCAGUGUAGAGGUGAAAUUCGUAGAUAUUGGGAAGAACACCAGUGGCGAAGGCGGCUACCUGGACCGGUACUGACGCUGAGGUGCGAAAGCGUGGGGAGCAAACAGGAUUAGAAACCCCGGUAGUCC